GUUGAAGGAAGUACAUGUCCAUCUGCCCUCCUUUAAUGCGAGUGAAAAGGAUGAAUGCGGGAAUCAACUUGACCCAGUGCUGCCUGGAGGAAUGUCGCCCAUGGGAGCUGUCUCAGGUGCCGAUUGCUCCCAUGACCGUCCUGGCCUCCCCACCACAUUCCUGCAUUUAAAUGAGAGCUGGUCAAUGUUUCACUCCUGCUGCCCUCCCAGGCACAUCGUGCCCAGCUAGUGAACUAUUAACCACCAGCAGCCGCUGCCUGGCCGCCUCUUCAACCCCUCUCCUUAGAAGCUUCCAACACUUUUCUACUGGAUGUAAUUGAUCUACCAAACCUGACAAGUGCGGAGGAGGCUUCCUCUCCAGUUGACAAGGAGCCUCCUGAAAACAUUUUUUGCAACUUUCCUAACAAUAUAAGAUUCUGCUAUACAAGUUUGGAAUCACACCUUAGGCGUCCACAGUGACUCUUGAACUACUUUUGAUAUGUCUGGACUAUUGUUUUCUGUCUGCUGUUCCUGGAACAGGGGAUGGUGUGUGUUGGUAAAAGUAUGAGACUGCGAAUACACACUAGGGUGGAACAUGAGCUGCUCCAGGGAGAGUAUUUCCUGAAACAAACAGGUAUGAGCGCCACAGAUAAAGACUUUUGUGAACCCAGGAUUAUCAAGACUACCAAUGAGACUUCAUGGGGAAAUUCCUCAGGAGGCAGCACAGAUCAUGGUGGGUGGGGAACCCCUUACAAUAGAAGGGUGAAGUCUUUGAAACACAAUCUGUAAGGCUUGUCUGGAUGUACUUGAGCUGGAUUGAGGGAAGAAUUUAAAAAAGAAAUGAAAC
Long non-coding RNA from Mesocricetus auratus (golden hamster), 826 nucleotides. RefSeq lists it as uncharacterized. The transcript has 3 exons. The record is from RefSeq and is a predicted model, not a curated record. NCBI's taxonomy places the organism in Eukaryota, Metazoa, Chordata, Mammalia, Rodentia, Cricetidae.